CUGAGUGCGAAAGCGUGGGGAGCAAACGGGAUAGAUACCCCGGUAGUCCACGCCGUAAACGAUGUCUACUAGCCGUUGGAGGACUUGAUCCUUUAGUGGCGCAGCUAACGCGAUAAGUAGACCGCCUGGGGAGUACGGUCGCAAGAUUAAAACUCAAAUGAAUUGACGGGGGCCCGCACAAGCGGUGGAGCAUGUGGUUUAAUUCGAAGCAACGCGAAGAACCUUACCUACUCUUGACAUCCAGUGAACUUUUGAGAGAUCAAUUGGUGCCUUCGGGAACACUGAGACAGGUGCUGCAUGGCUGUCGUCAGCUUGUGUUGUGAAAUGUUGGGUUAAGUCCCGUAACGAGCGCAACCCUUGUCCUUAGUUACCAUCAUUAAGUUGGGGACUCUAAGGAGACUGCCGGUGACAAACCGGAGGAAGGCGGGGACGACGUCAAGUCAUCAUGGCCCUUACGAGUAGGGCUACACACGUGCUACAAUGGCAUGUACAAAGGGUUGCCAAGCCGCGAGGUGGAGCUAAUCCCAUAAAGCAUGUCGUAGUCCGGAUUGGAGUCUGCAACUCGACUCCAUGAAGUCGGAAUCGCUAGUAAUCGUGAAUCAGAAUGUCACGGUGAAUACGUUCCCGGGCCUUGUACACACCGCCCGUCACACCAUGGGAGUGGGUUGCUCCAGGAGUAGAUAGCUUAACCUUCGGGAGGGCGUUUACCACGGAGUGAUUCAUGACUGGGGUGAAGUCGUAACAAGGUAACCGUA
Molecule: ribosomal RNA, 755 nt
Filed under: uncultured bacterium
Lineage: Bacteria
Description: bacterial SSU rRNA
Rfam family: Bacterial small subunit ribosomal RNA
Source: RNAcentral